AUUGAACGCUGGCGGAAUGCUUUACACAUGCAAGUCGAGCGGCAGCGCGGGGCAACCUGGCGGCGAGCGGCGAACGGGUGAGUAAUGCAUCGGAACAUGUCCAUUCGUGGGGGAUAGCCCGGCGAAAGCCGGAUUAAUACCGCAUACGCCCGAGAGGGGAAAGUGGGGGACCGCAAGGCCUCACGCGAUUGGGUUGGCCGAUGUCCGAUUAGCUAGUUGGCGGGGUAAGAGCCCACCAAGGCGAUGAUCGGUAGCUGGUCUGAGAGGAUGAUCAGCCACACUGGGACUGAGACACGGCCCAGACUCCUACGGGAGGCAGCAGUGGGGAAUUUUGGACAAUGGGGAAACCCUGAUCCAGCCAUUCCGCGUGAGUGAAGAAGGCCUCGGUUGUAAGU
RNAcentral lists this ribosomal RNA (395 nucleotides) under uncultured bacterium. RNAcentral describes it as "bacterial SSU rRNA". It matches the Rfam family "Bacterial small subunit ribosomal RNA", at positions 29 to 430 of the family's 1533-position model. The record is from RNAcentral.